This 253-nucleotide ribosomal RNA is filed under the name uncultured bacterium. Its description in RNAcentral is "partial 16S ribosomal RNA". It matches the Rfam family "Bacterial small subunit ribosomal RNA", at positions 524 to 776 of the family's 1533-position model. The record is from RNAcentral.
UACGGAGGGUGCAAGCGUUAUCCGGAUUUAUUGGGUUUAAAGGGUCCGUAGGUGGGACUGUAAGUCAGUGGUGAAAUCUUUCAGCUCAACUGGAAAAUUGCCGUUGAUACUGCAGUCCUUGAGUAUACUUGAAGUAGGCGGAAUAUGUCAUGUAGCGGUGAAAUGCAUAGAUAUGACAUGGAACACCGAUAGCGAAGGCAGCUUACUAAAUUAUAACUGACACUGAGGGACGAAAGCGUGGGGAGCGAACAGG